GAUGAACGCUGGCGGCGUGCCUAAUACAUGCAAGUCGAGCGAACGGACGAGAAGCUUGCUUCUCUGAUGUUAGCGGCGGACGGGUGAGUAACACGUGGAUAACCUACCUAUAAGACUGGGAUAACUUCGGGAAACCGGAGCUAAUACCGGAUGAUAUUUUGAACCGCAUGGUUCAAAAGUGAAAGACGGUCUUGCUGUCACUUAUAGAUGGAUCCGCGCUGCAUUAGCUAGUUGGUAAGGUAACGGCUUACCAAGGCAACGAUGCAUAGCCGACCUGAGAGGGUGAUCAGCCACACUGGAACUGAGACACGGUCCAGACUCCUACGGGAGGCAGCAGUGGGGAAUCUUCCGCAAUGGGCGAAAGCCUGACGCAGCAACGCCGCGUGAGUGAUGAAGGUCUUCGGAUCGUAAAACUCUGUUAUUAGGAAAGAACAUAUGUGUAAUUAACUGUGCACAUCUUGACGGUACCUAAUCAGAAAGCCACGGCUAACUACGUG
Molecule: ribosomal RNA, 497 nt
Filed under: uncultured bacterium
Lineage: Bacteria
Description: partial 16S ribosomal RNA
Rfam family: Bacterial small subunit ribosomal RNA
Source: RNAcentral